This 465-nucleotide ribosomal RNA is filed under the name uncultured bacterium. Its description in RNAcentral is "bacterial SSU rRNA". It matches the Rfam family "Bacterial small subunit ribosomal RNA", at positions 338 to 795 of the family's 1533-position model. The record is from RNAcentral.
CCUACGGGACGCACCAGUGGGGAAUAUUGCAUAAUGGGCGCAAGCCUGAUGCAGCCAUGCCGCGUGUAUGAAGAAGGCCUUCGGGCUGUAAAGUACUUUCAGCGGGGAGGAAGGGAGUGAGGUUAAUAACCUCAUUCAUUGACGUUACCCGCAGAAGAAGCACCGGCUAACUCCGUGCUAGCAGCCGCGGUAAUACGGAGGGUGCAAGCGUUAAUCGGAAUUACUGGGCGUAAAGCGCACGCAGGCGGUCUGUCAAGUCGGAUGUGAAAUCCCCGGGCUCAACCUGGGAACUGCAUUCGAAACUGGCAGGCUGGAGUCUUGUAGAGGGGGGUAGAAUUCCAGGUGUAGCGGUGAAAUGCGUAGAGAUCUGGAGGAAUACCGGUGGCGAAGGCGGCCCCCUGGACAAAGACUGACGCUCAGGUGCGAAAGCGUGGGGAGCAAACAGGAUUAGAUACCCGGGUAGUC